GACAGAGGUGCCGAGCGUUAGGCGGAAUCACUGGGCUUAAAGCGUGUGUAGGCGGAAGCGUAAGUGCCUUGUGAAAUCCCUCGGCUCAACCGGGGAACUGCGUCUGAGACUGGAAGGCUUGAAUUCGGGAGAGGGAUGUGGAAUUCCAGGUGUAGCGGUGAAAUGCGUAGAUAUCUGGAGGAACACCGGUGGCGAAGGCGGCAUCCUGGACCGAGAUUGACGCUGAUGCGCGAAAGCCAGGGGAGCAAACAGG
This 253-nucleotide ribosomal RNA is filed under the name uncultured bacterium. Its description in RNAcentral is "partial 16S ribosomal RNA". It matches the Rfam family "Bacterial small subunit ribosomal RNA", at positions 524 to 776 of the family's 1533-position model. The record is from RNAcentral.